This is a long non-coding RNA of Sorex fumeus (smoky shrew), 388 nucleotides long. RefSeq lists it as uncharacterized. The transcript is spliced from 4 exons. The record is from RefSeq and is a predicted model, not a curated record. NCBI's taxonomy places the organism in Eukaryota, Metazoa, Chordata, Mammalia, Eulipotyphla, Soricidae.
GGAGAUGUGAGUGGAAGGGCCGGGCCGGAAUGGCUGGAUGGAAGCGACCCCAAGCUUCUAGCCUUUUCCAGAAGUCCGUGUCAGGAGACCAGAGGCAGACACUAAUUUGGGGAGCCCAGACAUUGUGGGUGUUUGGAGGACAGCUUUGAGUCCCUGUGUUCAUCUUCUCCACCACCAAUUUUUAGAGAAGCUCAGGAGAUAUCAUUGGCUGCCUCCACGGGCCUCUCCGAGUGCCGUUGGACAGUGUCCAGCUCUGCCGGAACCAGAGAGGGUGCCACUGGUCUGCCAGGGAUGAAGUCAAGAUUGACAGGUGGCAGAGCUCCGGGCUGGGGCGACGGGCCCUGGCUGGACAGGACCCAGCUGUGACUCCUUGCUGGGUGCAGGACCU